This 495-nucleotide ribosomal RNA is filed under the name uncultured bacterium. RNAcentral describes it as "bacterial SSU rRNA". It matches the Rfam family "Bacterial small subunit ribosomal RNA", at positions 1 to 507 of the family's 1533-position model. The record is from RNAcentral.
CAUGUGACGAGUUUGAUCCUGGCUCAGGAUGAACGCUAGCGGCAGGCCUAAUACAUGCAAGUCAAGGGGAUAGCAAUAUCACCGGCGGACGGGUGCGUAACGCGUACACAACGUGCCCAAGGGCGGAGGAAAGCGGCGGGAAACUGCCGGUAAUACUCCAUGGUGUUGUUGAGUGGCAUCACUUAACAACUAAAGUACAAGCGCCCUUGGAUCGGUGUGCGUUCGAUUAGCUAGUUGGCGGGGUAACGGCCCACCAAGGCUUCGAUCGAUAGGGGGUGUGAGAGCAUGACCCCCCACACGGGUACUGAGACACGGACCCGACUCCUACGGGAGGCAGCAGUAAGGAAUAUUGGACAAUGGGCGGAAGCCUGAUCCAGCCAUGCCGCGUGAAGGACGAAGGCGCUCAGCGUUGUAAACUUCUUUUGGAUGGGAACAAUAACUCCGACUUGUCGGAACUUGAGGGUACCAUCAGAAUAAGCACCGGCUAACUCCGUG